Molecule: ribosomal RNA, 363 nt
Filed under: Triticum aestivum (bread wheat)
Lineage: Eukaryota; Viridiplantae; Streptophyta; Magnoliopsida; Poales; Poaceae
Description: partial small subunit ribosomal RNA
Source: RNAcentral
AUGCCUGCUAUGGAGAUUUUUGAGUUAGUCAAUGAAGCAGAUUGUUAUCCCAAUAUUUAUAUUGCCUAUCGGAUUUUAUUUACUAUGCCCGUGACUAUGGCAUCAGCGGAGAGAAGUUUCUCAAAGUUGAAAUUGGUGAAGAACUACCUAAGAUCUACAAUGUCACAAGAGAUAUUAAAUGGCUUGGCAACUUUGUGCAUUGAGAAGGAAUUGCUUGAUGAAAUUGAUAUUGGUACUAGGGACAAAUGCAUUUUUGCCCUUAGUCGGAACCACCCCACGGGUUUUGCCCUUACUUUUCGGCUCUGCUCAAUUUUGCCCUUAUAUUUGUCCUUGAGGUCAUCCGAGUGCCCUUUGACCAUUUGA